This 949-nucleotide non-coding RNA is filed under the name Nematobrycon palmeri (emperor tetra). Its description in RNAcentral is "12S ribosomal RNA". It matches the Rfam family "Bacterial small subunit ribosomal RNA". Lineage: Eukaryota; Metazoa; Chordata; Actinopteri; Characiformes; Acestrorhamphidae. The record is from RNAcentral.
CAAAAGCUUGGUCCUGACUUUACUAUCAGCUUUAGCCUAACUUAUACAUGCAAGUAUCCGCACCCCUGUGAAAAUGCCCUCACUCCCCCUUACCCGGGGACGAGGAGCUGGCAUCAGGCACCUUUCUAUACUGCCCAAGACGCCUUGCUACGCCACACCCUCAAGGGAACUCAGCAGUAAUAAACAUUAAGCCAUAAGUGAAAACUUGACUUAAUUAAGGUUAAUUUAGGGCCGGUAAAACUCGUGCCAGCCACCGCGGUUAUACGAGAGACCCUAGUUGAUAAAUACGGCGUAAAGAGUGGUUAGGAAACAAACAAAUAAAGUCAAAUACUCUCCAUACUGUUAUAAGUUUUAUGAGAAUACGAAGCCCUAUUACGAAAGUAACUUUACCUCUUCCGACCCCACGAAAGCUAAGAAACAAACUGGGAUUAGAUACCCCACUAUGCUUAGCCUUAAACUUAGAUGCUUUCAUUACAAAAACAUCCGCCAGGGUACUACGAGCGCUAGCUUAAAACCCAAAGGACUUGACGGUGUCUCAGACCCACCUAGAGGAGCCUGUCCUAGAACCGAUAAUCCACGUUUAACCUCACCACCCCUUGCUUAUUCAGCCUAUAUACCGCCGUCGCAAGCUUACCCUGUGAAGGAUAAACAGUAAGCAUAAUGGAAAUAACCCAAAACGUCAGGUCGAGGUGUAGCUUAUGAGGUGGGAAGAGAUGGGCUACAUUUUCUGUAUCAGAAAAUAACGAACGGUAUCAUGAAAUCAAUACCCGAAGGUGGAUUUAGUAGUAAAAAUCAAAUAGAGAGUCAUUUUGAACUAGGCUCUGAGACGCGCACACACCGCCCGUCACCCUCCCCAACAAACACAAACUAAGUAAAUAACCAGAAAACUAAUAACACGGGGAGAUAAGUCGUAACAAGGUAAGUGUACCGGAAGGUGCACUUGGAACAU